GGAUUAGUGGCGAACGGGUGAGUAACACGUGGGCAAUCUGCCCUUCACUCUGGGACAAGCCCUGGAAACGGGGUCUAAUACCGGAUAACACUCUGUCCCGCAUGGGACGGGGUUGAAAGCUCCGGCGGUGAAGGAUGAGCCCGCGGCCUAUCAGCUUGUUGGUGGGGUAAUGGCCUACCAAGGCGACGACGGGUAGCCGGCCUGAGAGGGCGACCGGCCACACUGGGACUGAGACACGGCCCAGACUCCUACGGGAGGCAGCAGUGGGGAAUAUUGCACAAUGGGCGAAAGCCUGAUGCAGCGACGCCGCGUGAGGGAUGACGGCCUUCGGGUUGUAAACCUCUUUCAGCAGGGAAGAAGCGAAAGUGACGGUACCUGCAGAAGAAGCGCCGGCUAACUACGUGCCAGCAGCCGCGGUAAUACGUAGGGCGCAAGCGUUGUCCGGAAUUAUUGGGCGUAAAGAGCUCGUAGGCGGCUUGUCACGUCGGAUGUGAAAGCCCGGGGCUUAACCCCGGGUCUGCAUUCGAUACGGGCUAGCUAGAGUGUGGUAGGGGAGAUCGGAAUUCCUGGUGUAGCGGUGAAAUGCGCAGAUAUCAGGAGGAACACCGGUGGCGAAGGCGGAUCUCUGGGCCAUUACUGACGCUGAGGAGC
RNAcentral lists this ribosomal RNA (651 nucleotides) under Streptomyces sp. RNAcentral's name for it is "bacterial SSU rRNA". It matches the Rfam family "Bacterial small subunit ribosomal RNA", at positions 89 to 754 of the family's 1533-position model. Lineage: Bacteria; Bacillati; Actinomycetota; Actinomycetes; Kitasatosporales; Streptomycetaceae. The record is from RNAcentral.